RNAcentral lists this long non-coding RNA (324 nucleotides) under Otus sunia (Oriental scops-owl). RNAcentral describes it as "lncRNA (ENSOSUG00000002620.1)". Lineage: Eukaryota; Metazoa; Chordata; Aves; Strigiformes; Strigidae. The record is from RNAcentral.
GAAAAGGUUCCCAUUUUUGUUCCUGAGGAAGAAGAAGAGGAAACUAUUCCAGAGGAAAUUAUACCAGCAAAAGUGCUGGAGAUUCCUAAGAAACCUGUCCCAAAAGAAAAAAUACCUGUACCCACUCCUGAGAAAAUGGAGCUUCCUCCAGCAAAAGGGCCAGCUGUUCCCAUAAGAACUGUCCCUGAAGGAAAGAAACCUACACAUACACCCGAAAUAGAAGUUCCACCAAUGAAAGGUAAAGGAACCUUUGAUAAGAGAUUUUAUGGAAAGGAAAUAUUUCUGUUUUUCCCAACUAACAUCUUUUAAAAUGAUCCUCAUGUU